Molecule: ribosomal RNA, 366 nt
Filed under: Triticum aestivum (bread wheat)
Lineage: Eukaryota; Viridiplantae; Streptophyta; Magnoliopsida; Poales; Poaceae
Description: partial small subunit ribosomal RNA
Source: RNAcentral
AUGGCUAAGGCAGGCGCAGGCGAAUUGCAAGCUGAUGAGGAUGAAGGUGGAUUGAUGAUUGAAGGGGUGCCGUCUCAUGCUUGGACCAGGGACACGGCGGUGAAACUUCUGGGCAGUUCGUGUAUGAUCGAUAGCUUGGCGCCCGAAACAGAGAGCAGAGAGGAUCUGUCGCUAUUCAAACUCAAGGCCUGGUGUGUGGAUCCACAGGAGGUGCCAGUGUUUCGCCGUCUCUGGGUGCUGGAGCCGCCACCGGCGAGUGCGAACCCUGCGGAGCGACGGAAAACAUUCUGGCAAUUGCUUGAGUAUCCCACGUUCAUCCAUGUUGGCAGAGUGUGGGACUUCACACCACCGGAGCUUUGGGGAUGA